RNAcentral lists this long non-coding RNA (1791 nucleotides) under Homo sapiens (human). RNAcentral describes it as "HSALNT0054777". The record is from RNAcentral. Lineage: Eukaryota; Metazoa; Chordata; Mammalia; Primates; Hominidae.
UCUCCACUCCCCUCCAGGACAAUAUAUAUUCUUCCAGAUGUCCCCUGGCCAGGAGAAUCUCUGUCAUCGCUUUAGUGCUCACUCCACCUGCUCACAGGUUUCUAUGCAAGAAAAGGCCAGAGAGGCUCCCUCACCCUCCAGAUGGGCUCCUUCAAGAGAUAAUGGAUGUCAGGUUGGGCGCGGUAGCUCACACCCGUAAUUCCAGCACUUUGGGAGGCCAAGGCAGGCAGAUCACCUGAGGUCAGCGGCUCAAAGACCAGCCUGGCCAACAUGGUGAAACCCCGUCUCUACUAAAAAUACAAAAAUUAGCCGGGCGUGGUGGCACAUGCCUAUAAUCCCAGCUACUUGGGAGGCUGAGGCAGGAGAAUAGCUUGAACCCCGGAGGCGUGGGUUGCAAUGAGCCGAGAUCAUGCUACUGCACUCCAGCCUGGGCAACAGAGUGAGACUCUGUCUAAAAAAUAAUAACAAUAAUGAAAAUAAUUUACCAAAACUGACUCAAGAAGAAAUAGAGAACCUAAGUAAUCUUUCAAGCAUUAAAAAUAAACCAGAUCAGUAGCCGAAGAUGCACAUCCCUUAACUCCCAGCAACUUCACCAGUAGGAACAUACAGUGAAAUGUACUCACAUGUUCCACACAUUCUACAGGAAACACAAACAGGCCGGGCACAGUGGCUCACACCUGUAAUCCCAGCACUCUGGGAGGCUGAGGUGGGUGGAUCAACUGAGGUCAGGAGUUCGAGACCAACCUGGCCAACAUGGUGAAACCCUGUAUCUACUACAAAUACAAAAAUUAGCUGGGCAUGGUGGCAGGCACCCGUAAUCCCAGCUACUUGGGAAGCUGAGGCAGGAGAACCACUUGAACCCAGGAGGCUGAGGUUGCAGUGAAUCAAGAUCGUGCCAUUGUACUCUAGACUCGGUGACAGAGUGAGACUCCAUCUCAGGAAAAAAACAACAACAACAACAAAAAAAAGGAAACACAAACAGGGCUGCCCCGCAUUGUUUGCAAUUGCAAGACCUGGAACUCACUUAUAUGUUUAUCAAUAGACGAGGUUAACUGGAAUAUAUUAAUAUAAUGGGAUACUAUACAGCAGUAAGAAUGAGCGAGCUACACUUCACAAAUCCGGUAUCAAUAUUCUCUCCCAAAUAUAGUGUGAAAAAAGCACAGUGCAGAAGGAUCUGUUUAACAAAGAAGACCAUAUUGAUUUAUGUACAAGUCUUUUUGUAUAUACUACAAGGAAAACAGGCCAGGUGCGGUGGCUCAAGCCUGUAAUCCCAGCACUUUGGGAGGCCGAGGAGGGCAGAUCACCUGAGGUCAUGAGUUUGAGACCAGCUUGACCAACACGGAUAAACCCCAUCUCUACUAAAAAUACAAAAUUAGCCGGGCAUGUGGCACAUGCCUGUAAUCCCAGCUACUCGGGAGGCUGAGACAGGAGAAUCGUUUGAACCCGGGAGGCGGAGGUUGAAGUGAGCCGAGAUGGCGCCAUUGCACUCCAGCCUGGACAACAAGAGCAAAACUCCGUCUCAAAAAAAAAAAAAAGGAAAACAAUAGAAUGAUAACAAACAAAAAAUUCAGGGUAUAGUUCUUUCUCAGGGGAAGGGAAGAUGAGGAUGGAGGGACCCACUGUAGUUCCAAAAAUCACUGUAAUGUACUAGUUCUUAAUCCUGGGAGCAGCUACACACAGGUUCAUUAUUUAUGACAAGAGUACAUCAUUUAUCUUCUUCUUUAUGCAUAUACUUUUUUUUUUUUAAAUAUUCAGGUGGCUCACGCCUAUAAUCCCAGCACUUUGGGAGAC